AGAGUCACUCCUACGGGAGGCAGCAGUGGGGAAUUUUGGACAAUGGGGGAAACCCUGAUCCAGCCAUGCCGCGUGCGGGAAGAAGGCCUUCGGGUUGUAAACCGCUUUUGUCGGGGAAGAAAUCUUCCGGGUUAAUACCUCGGGAGGAUGACGGUACCCGAAGAAUAAGCACCGGCUAACUACGUGCCAGCAGCCGCGGUAAUACGUAGGGUGCAAGCGUUAAUCGGAAUUACUGGGCGUAAAGCGUGCGCAGGCGGUUAUGCAAGACAGAUGUGAAAUCCCCGGGCUUAACCUGGGAACUGCAUUUGUGACUGCAUAGCUGGAGUACGGCAGAGGGGGAUGGAAUUCCGCGUGUAGCAGUGAAAUGCGUAGAUAUGCGGAGGAACACCGAUGGCGAAGGCAGUCCCCUGGGCCUGUACUGACGCUCAUGCACGAAAGCGUGGGGAGCAAACAGGAUUAGAUACCCUGGUAGUCCACGCCCUAAACGAUGUCAACUGGUUGUUGGGAGGGUUUCUUCUCAGUAACGUAGCUAACGCGUGAAGUUGACCGCCUGGGGAGUACGGCCGCAAGGUUGAAACUUAAAGGAAUUGACG
This 593-nucleotide ribosomal RNA is filed under the name uncultured beta proteobacterium. RNAcentral describes it as "bacterial SSU rRNA". It matches the Rfam family "Bacterial small subunit ribosomal RNA", at positions 329 to 915 of the family's 1533-position model. The record is from RNAcentral. Lineage: Bacteria; Pseudomonadati; Pseudomonadota; Betaproteobacteria.